Small nucleolar RNA from Nycticebus coucang (slow loris), 130 nucleotides. RefSeq annotates it as small nucleolar RNA SNORA22. The transcript has a single exon. Lineage: Eukaryota; Metazoa; Chordata; Mammalia; Primates; Lorisidae. The record is from RefSeq and is a predicted model, not a curated record.
UUGCCCAGUGAACACCUAUAGUGCUUCAUGUUGCCUUGGCUUUGACUCUGUGCUGGAGCAAUGUCUGGUCUUUUCCUCUUCAUUAAAAAUAAUUUAUCCUUCUAAAUGUAUUUAAAAAGCUGGGACAUUU